UAGAAUGCCAUUCUCGUGAGACCGCAGAAGGGUGCACAGUCACACACACGCACGCAGAGAACGGCAAGCGCAGUUUUUACGGCGUUUUACUUUCGUCUCUUCUUUUUGUUUUUUCGAUGUUUAUUGGUGGCCUCCUGGAAGUCACCACCACGACCACUGCGUGCGCAUGCGUACUUGCACAGAGACGGCGACACCCUCUCUUUCCCGCUCCCUGCUCAGUGGCAACCCCCUCCCUCCCUCCCUCCCCCCCUGGCAUUUCAGCAACGACACGGCAAGCAUGGGCAGUGCACCAUCGGUGCAGGAGCACCUGCAGAAGUGGGAGACCGCGCUCGGGGAGCUCGAGCAGCUCUGCUCGGUCAAUCGACGCCUCAUGGACCAGGACCGCAUCUACGGCAGUGGGGCCGCCCUGAACGACAUUCACAGGGCCACGGAUGACGAAGCCACCUCCGACCGAGGAGGAGCUCGGCGGCCAUCAUCACUCGUUUCCUUCAGCCCCACCGCAACGGCAGUCACACCAGAGGCGGGUAUGGGUGUCAGCGCGGGCAGUUUUCAUAGACUAAACCGCAGCGGCACCUCGACGGCCGUCACAGCACCACUACCGGAGAGCCGCACCGGCUUUGGAUUCACGGCUUACAGCGGCGCGCCUGGAACCAGCACGGUGACGACUUUGAACUUCGUUCAGGGCGGUGCCACCGCCCUGCCUGGCAACGCGGCAAACGACGUGACAAACAGGAGUGCCGGCUCGGCCUCGGUGGGUCAGCAGCAGUCCAAGCACACCCGUCAGCAAGUCCUCGAGAUCCGAAAAGCGCGCAUGAGUCUCUUUCGCAGCUACGAAGCCGAAAACCCGGAUGCGCUCACUGAUCUCAUGCAAUGCAGCCACUUCGGCGCUGCCGCCGUGGCUCUCUCCUACCUGCUCGGCGGUGACGCGAACUGCAAGGAUCGCCGGCGUCGCGUCACCCUCGAAGACAUCUUCUUCGCCACACAGUCCCCGCUGCACAUGCUGCACUCCGGAUCGCCACAUCUGCCGAUCAUGACGGGCAUCAUCCGCGAGUUCCUCGACGUCGAUAACCGGUUCAAGGGCGAUUACAGCCUAGAAGCGGUGCACCUUGACGUGUCGCCGACGAUGGGGCAGGUGGAGCUCGGCCCGAACGAGGUGGGUGACCGGCAGACUCGCAUGCAGCUGCCGGAAUUCCAGCGCCUUAUCACGCAGGACUGCGAGGAAGAGACGCAGGCGAUUCGCAUUGUCAACUACGAUCCGUAUGUGCUGGAGCAAGCGAUGCUUGUGGACGCCUUCGAAGACGAAGAUGAACUGAACUCCCCGCUUGCAACCUCCGUGCUAGGGCCAAAUCCGCAUCAUAUGGAGCGGCAGUACUCCCCACGAAACGAGGGUGCGUAUGCGGCAGUAGUCGACGUUCGCAAUGCCGUGCAGCUUAUGGUAACUAUCGCUGAGGGCGUAGUGAACGACUCGCUGCACGUGAAGCUGAAGGAAGUACCCGUGGCGUCCCUCUUCAAGGCAAUGAUGACGGCCAAGGAAGGCCAUCGCGCGCGCGGCUUCAUUCGCGUGUUUAAGAAGGAGCUCAACCCGGAAUUCACCACGGACGAGAUCAAGACGUUCUGGACGCCGGAGCUGCGCAGCGGCAAGGUGCUUGGCACGACGCAGCUGGGCACGAACGCCGUGGCCAUCUCUCACCACAUCAGCCCCCACAUCGUCGGCGUGGCGUGGGCGAUGCAUCUGCUGGCCGGCGUUCGCCCUGGCACGCACGGGUACGGCAACGGCCUGCCGGUCUCUGACAUUAUCCGCACCAUGAAGCUGCCAGCCGAGGUGUUCGUGGAUGGCGUACUACCUCUAGAGCAGGUGUACGAGUACGCCGCCGGCUACGUGCAGCGGUCAAAGCGCGACGUGGACGUGCACCUCUACCCGGUGCUCACGAAGAUCUUCCGCGAGGACGCGGUGCCGACGAUUUCGGUGUUCGACCUCGAGUCCAUCCUCAUCAACGUGAAGGACGCCAACGCGGACCCGGAGUGCCCGGAGCAUGUGAUGGUGAUAAUGUACAACGCAUGCGUGGCGCACAAUGUGCUCUACAUUGUGGAAGAGCCGCAGUGGUGUGUGCUGGCCGGCUACGAUCAGGAAAUGCAAACAGCCGUGCUGAUCGAUGCCCACCCGAAGACAUUUUCGCACACGUGGUCGUGCCCGCUGGACCGUCUUCACAAGGCCAUGACCGGCAACGGGUACCUGAUCUUCUCAAAGCGUAGCAAGAACCCGGUGUCGCGGCGCGUUGGUGCCCCAGCCACGAUGGCCCCCACAGUAGAGAGUCGACUUGAGCUGGUGGAGCGCCAGCACGAGCUGAGCAGCUCAUGGGAAGGCAAGACCGCAUUUGCCGUGCCGAAGGCGUUCACUUUUCCCUCGCUGCCUGUCAUGCCGACGAUGGUGGCCAUGACAUGCACCCGGCUCGGCGUUGCGACCACGUUUGACGACGUGGUGCAACGUCUUCCGUUCGAAAUCUCCGCCCUGGUCAUUCGCAACCUGACACUGGAGAUCAUGCACGUGUGCCUGACACAGUACUUGCGUGUGGUGGGGUUGCAGGACGAGGUCCAAGUGAAGGCGUAUCAUGGGGAAAGCAACGCGGACGGGUUCCUCACACUGCAGCUGCCGCAGCUCGAGGAACUCAUCCAGACCUCACUCGACGGAAACCAUGUCCUGCUGCUGCACUUCGAUGCCAGCCGCCUGCUCGUAAACGGGGCCUCGCACCCGUUCGGUGCCCUUGGUAUUGUCGUCGGCUACGACGCGGGGCUCGGAAGCGUGCGCGUGGCGGACGCGAACCCCAACAGCUUCCUGCGCGAGUGGUCGGCGCCGCUGCUAGAGGUGUUCGAGUCCGUGCUGGACAGCGACGUCACACGGAAGCACCGCACCCGCGGCGUGCUGCUCGUCUCGCGUGCUGCCGUAGCCGAGGGUGCGGCAGGUCCGGUGUUUGCGCCGCCGUGCAGCCGUCCUUUCCGCCUCGAGCUACUGCCUGUUCUGAACGUCUUCCUUGUUAGCCCCAGUCCCCACUUCCAAGGGAUGUCCUUCGCCUUCUCGCAACUGGGCUACUACUACAGCCCGGAGGAGAUCUUCUACGAGGCGUAUCUGAAGACGAUGGAUGAUCAGCGGCGGCGCGGUAGCCAGGCCUUUGCGUGGCGUGAUGUAGAGGUGUCGCUGUCGAUCAUCAACAAAAAGAUCGACGCCUCUUUCAUGGCGGAAGGGUGCCGGAAGUUUCUCGAGUCGCGCAAUGGACAUCAGAGCGGGACCCAAGAGACUAUCUCGGUGCAGGUGCUGGAGGACAUCGACGUGGACGAGGAGCUGGACGAGCUUCUGGAGAAGUCUACGCGGUCCUCGGACACGGUCCUUCUGCUGAACUACGACGUUCUGCGUACGCAUCAGCUGUCGAACCUCGGCCGCAGUGUGGCUACCGUGAAGAGCUACAACAAGGAGAAGCAGCUGGUCGAGCUGUGGGACGCCGAGUACGCCGUCUUCGGUCUCUCCUUUGUAGUCACGAAGCAGCAGCUCAUCGAAAUGGGCGAUCUGGAGAACGUCGGCUCCAGCCCGUACGGCUUUGUCCAGUUCAAGCGUGUUGCAGCCGGCGCAGCCCCCAAGAAGCUGGGCCUUAUGUCUGCGCCAUCAACGCUGGAGGAGGAAGCCGAACUCGAGGCGGCCGCCGCCGCGGCAGGAGUAAAGUGACACCGUGGCGAAACCGAGCAGCGCUGGCUGGCCGUCGCUUGCGGUCGAGGAUGUGAAUGUGGGUCUCCGUUCACUUCCCACCACCACCACCACUCCUCCUUGACACUAAGCUGGAUAGAACAGUUUCUCUCGGUGCUGGGGACUCUCGGUAUUCCUUUGUUCAGCUGAAGCCGUGACUCUCCAGCAGGUCGCCAGUAUUCGCACAAGCGCGGUGAUGCAUAUGCAGGGCACAUCAUCACUCGGUCGUCAGCCCUUCCUCGCUCUCUCUUGUGUACCAUAGAGGGAAGUGUCUCCUCGUCAUGCGUAUCAUGCAGCAGCAGCAGCAGCAGCAGCAGCAGCGACGGCGCCGCGAAACGCCGCCGCCGUGUUCACGCCCUCUUUGCGCUGUGGCCGUUGUUUUUGUUGGCUUGUGUCUUCGUCUUACGUCACCCUCGGCCCCUCCGCUGCUUCCUUGUGUGGGUUUGGGUGCGUGAGACUACGCGCACUUUGCGUCCCCUCUGGCGUCGGGGAGGGGUAGCGGGGAGAGGGGAGAGGGGAACACGGAGGCAAAGGAGGGAAAACAAAAAAAGUGGAGGGGGAGGGCAAAGUUGUCGGCGUCUGUCACAGCCAGCCAAAAGGGAAAAAAGAGAGGUGACGUUGUUAUACGAGUGUCAAGCAGCAAACCAGGAGGAUGGUCUGUGCAUCAUCCUCCCGCAUCACGCAGCAGCACGUCUGCUGUUCCCCCUUUCUGUUUUUCUUUUCGUUCUCCUUCCUUUUUUGCGCCCUGUGUUGCGUGCUUCUCGGACUGCUAUCCGGCUAUCCUUCCUCUGUGCACCGAGUCGUUGCGCGUUUCUUUUCCCUUGUGUAUGUGUGUGCCAUUUUCUUUUCUUGUUGCUGCAUUUGUUCUCUUGUUGUUCUCCCCCUCCCACACACGCACACUGUCCCUUUCUUUUUUUCUGCGCAUGUGUGUGUGUGUGUGUGUGCCUUCCAACGUUUCGAGGCCCCCGUGAACCCACCAUGCAUCCUUCCCUCUCCCUCUCCCUCCUUACUCUCCUUCUCACUCUACAGCUCAUAUGUGUAAAGUGACACGGACUCGACCGCAACAGAGAACACACACACACGCACUCAAAAAGAAGCGGCCCCAGGUGCAGGAGAGAGCCAGUCAUCCUCCCCCACCCUCCCCUCUCGCGCCCUUUUCACUCCGAAGCAGGGCCGCAUGCUCAUGUCCGUUUCUCCUCUCACAAUGCGCCCAUCCCUCUCGCUCUCUAUCGCAAACUUACCGCUCUAUCAUCUCCACUACUCCCCAUCUCCCACCUCUCAAG
RNAcentral lists this unclassified non-coding RNA (5016 nucleotides) under Leishmania donovani. RNAcentral's name for it is "gene:LdHU3.36.4130(CDS-product:Phytochelatin_synt hase_putative)". The record is from RNAcentral. Lineage: Eukaryota; Euglenozoa; Kinetoplastea; Trypanosomatida; Trypanosomatidae.